Molecule: transfer RNA, 69 nt
Filed under: Sporolactobacillus sp. THM19-2
Lineage: Bacteria; Bacillati; Bacillota; Bacilli; Caryophanales; Sporolactobacillaceae
Description: tRNA-Ile
Rfam family: tRNA
About the family: Transfer RNA (tRNA) molecules are approximately 80 nucleotides in length. Their secondary structure includes four short double-helical elements and three loops (D, anti-codon, and T loops).
Source: RNAcentral
GACCCGUUCGUCAAACGGUUAUGGCACCAUCUUAUUAAUGGGUCGCGGGUUCAAGUCCCGCACAGGUCA